CCCCGGCUCCAGGGUCGCGCCGAAAAUGCGGCUACCCCCAGUGGCUGUUGUUUUGGACUACGUUUCCCAUCAGCCCUUUCUCAACAUCGCGAGAGUCCCAGCGAGACCGCCGAGAAGACUUGCGCGCAGGCGCGGCCCCGCCCUCUCCCCGAGGCCGGCCGCAUGGCUGGAAGUCAUGGCUCCUUCUGUCCGGGCCCAGUUCGGCGAGCAGCCUCGGGCCUCAGGCCUUUCGCAAGGGCCUGCCAGUAGCAUCUGCGGAGACAGAAGCGGACCUGCAGGUUGAAGCUUAAAAGGACUGGAAUGAAUGGAGCCCCGAAAUGAUAGAAUGAGACCUAUGUUACCCUAUUUCUCCUUCGGGCUAAAGGUGCUGGCUGUGGGCUUUGAGAAAAGUCACGUGAGAACCGUCAUCUUCAGAUGUUGAGUGUAAGGAUCUUCGUGAUGGAGAUUUCUGUAAACGGGGCGGUCCAGCCUUGGUUUCGGACCCGCGACGGACCCUCCAGGAGAAGCCUCUACGCGGCAAUGCCUGCGGUGUGAGGCACAGAACUGAGCUGCUUUGCCCGAAGCAAGUGAAACGGUUCCUCCCGUUGUGACCUCCCAGUUGUGCCGGCCGGAUCCCUGCAGCCUCUGUUGCUAAUGUUAAUGCCUGUAAAGUGUUUCUCCCAGAGGAGAAUCCUUUCAGAGCUCUGUGGACUUCAUCUUCAAAAAUAGCCAG
This is a long non-coding RNA of Myotis brandtii (Brandt's bat), 712 nucleotides long. RefSeq lists it as uncharacterized. NCBI's taxonomy places the organism in Eukaryota, Metazoa, Chordata, Mammalia, Chiroptera, Vespertilionidae. The transcript is spliced from 6 exons. The record is from RefSeq and is a predicted model, not a curated record.